CAAAGUUGGCCAAAGUAGGGCUCGAGUCGAGGAAACCAGGUCCUGUGUUGCACGAUGGCAGGGCCUUGCUGCCAGCCUUGCAGCAACAUGGGGCCCACCACUGCCCUGUACGGCCCAGUGAUGUCACUGACAUCACAGAGCCUGCCCUUCUGGAUUGGUUGCCCACCACAACAUCAUCACAAUGUCCUCCCGGUAUCCCAGCAGCAAGAUGAUGUCACAGAGCUGACUGGAUAGCUGCUGCAUCCCAGUGCACACGAAUCUGAGGAGGCAAGUAGGAGUGCAUCACCAUGGACUCCCCUUCUUGCCCACAGUGUGAGGCAUGGUCCUGGGGGAAUGCAGGGGACAAGCAUUCCCCUGCCCAGCUCCUCAGCUACACCUCCUAACGCAGACACCAUUAUCAAAGAGGAAUUUACUUCAGUCUGAACUGAGGAAGAUCCUUUGCAUCGAUACACUGUGCUGCACAGACCAGUUGUAGUGACCAGAAGUCAUUUAAUCCAUAUUCAGUUAGUUGGUGCUGAGGAUGGAAUGGUUUCUGUGGGCCAUGCACCAGGACAGCCCAGGAUCUUGAUAGGAAAUGCUGCCUUGCUUCUGCUGCUGACAGUUGUGACAGGGUGCUGCUACGCACACACAUUCCAGUGAGUGAAAGCUUAGAUCUGUUUCUCUUUAAAUGAAAAGACAUGCAACCUCCUGCAGAAACAUCCUGAAGGAAAGCAGCAGCAAGGGGAUGGAGAGAAAGCAAAAGUGGUCAACAUUUCCAAAUCACCACUGGCUUUCCAAUGGACCUAACUGGUAGCAGCAGGAAGAGGCACUGUGUUACUGGGAAUUGCCAGUGGGGAGCUCCAGGCCUCACUCUGGCUAAUGGGCCUCAGCUCUCUUCCCUCAAAGAUGCAAUAGCCCAGAGCCCUCCAAAACUCAUCAAGAGUGAGAGCCCACAUUCUCAACCUAAAUAAUAGCUUCCAUGGGUUCUGCAGCAUCACGAGAGACUGAAAAACGGCCCAUGAAGCUGCCCUUCCUCCUCCUCUCUGUCACCCCUUCCACUGACACAGAUGCACUGUCUGGGCUGAAGGUGUCAGAAGGCCAGGGGUUGGCAGCAUGGGGGAAGGGAAGCCCUGGGAUCUUGAGAAAUUCUCCAUUUGUUUUCAUUUUUUCACCAGACAUCUCUAUUUGAGCUGCUUGGAAGGAUAUCUCAAUAACAGCCCUACUGGGCUUGAAGAGACAAAGACU
Molecule: non-coding RNA, 1224 nt
Organism: Coturnix japonica (Japanese quail)
Lineage: Eukaryota; Metazoa; Chordata; Aves; Galliformes; Phasianidae
Source: RefSeq, a predicted model, not a curated record